This 475-nucleotide ribosomal RNA is filed under the name uncultured bacterium. RNAcentral describes it as "SSU rRNA". It matches the Rfam family "Bacterial small subunit ribosomal RNA", at positions 26 to 521 of the family's 1533-position model. The record is from RNAcentral.
AGAACGAACGCUGGCGGCAUGCCUAACACAUGCAAGUCGAACGCUUGCCGAGGCUUCGGUUUCGGCAGGAGUGGCGCACGGGUGAGUAGCGCGUGGGAACCUGCCUUGGAGUGGGGGACAACCGAGGGAAACUUCGGCUGAUACCGCAUACGCCGGUUGUCUUGCAAGAGACGGCCGGGAAAGAUUUAUCGCUCCGAGAGGGGCCCGCGUCGGAUUAGGUAGUUGGCGGGGUAACGGCCCACCAAGCCUGUGAUCCGUAGCUGGUCUGAGAGGAUGAUCAGCCACACUGGGACUGAGACACGGCCCAGACUCCUACGGGAGGCAGCAGUGGGGAAUAUUGGACAAUGGGCGCAAGCCUGAUCCAGCAAUGCCGCGUGAGUGAUGAAGGCCUUCGGUUGUAAAGCUCUUUCGCCCGCGACGAUGAUGACGGUAGCGGGAGAAGAAGCCCGGCUAACUUCGUGCCAGCAGCCGCGGU